This is a long non-coding RNA of Ricinus communis (castor bean), 926 nucleotides long. RefSeq lists it as uncharacterized. The record is from RefSeq and is a predicted model, not a curated record. The transcript has 2 exons. NCBI's taxonomy places the organism in Eukaryota, Viridiplantae, Streptophyta, Magnoliopsida, Malpighiales, Euphorbiaceae.
AGAAAAUAUAAGUACCUAAUUUUAAUAAUUGGAGAACGGAAUAGAUUAUGGCGAACUUGAGGGAGGGAUUUAUAAUUAUCCCUUUAUAAAAGAAAAUCAUCUAUUUUUUUCUAUCAGUUUUCUUUUUUCAGCUGCAUAGCCACCAUCAGUUAUUGCUGACAGGGCAGAGUCAUCUGCAUUGAAAUAUAAUAAUUAUAUAUUAUAAAUUUUUUAAUUUAAAUAAGUUAGGCGCAUCAUAAUCUUAGGCUGCCCCAUUUAGAUUUAACAAAAUUGUCAGCCAUGGAUGUUACCCCUGUCAAAUCCAUUCUUUUUUGAUUCUGUGAAUAGAAAAUCUAUAUUUACUAAUUCCUUUCGAGAAAAGAAAAGAAACUUUCAAAUGAUCUUCUGCUCAAAAUUUUCAGAGCGGAGUUCAGACAUUAGUGCUUUAAACUGGUCCCUCAGUACAAGGAAAACCUCAUCAUUCGAUGUAAAGCCAAAAAGAUCUUUCCAAGCAAAUUACAGGUGUUCAAAGAUGAGAAGAUGAACAUUCCAUCAGUUGUGUUAGAAUCUACCCAAUCAUAUUCUUGUUGACAAACACUUGGCACUGCGUGGGAGGGAAAGUGAACAGAGCUCAGGAUACAUAUCACAUUUUUUUAAUGAAGUGAUUAAAUGCCACGUGUUAUGUGAUAACAAUCAGAGGCACCGAUGAGCAGAAGUAGGUGAGUGAUUGAUUUGUUUGGCAUAUCAAUAAAAAGAGAUGUUUUGCGAUUUUGUAUAGAUAUUUUGUGAUUUGAAGAGAUAAUAUAUCGGGAAGAAUGCGUUCCAGGGGCGGUUCUCUGAUGCUCUUUCCUUUUAUACUCUCUCUGUCCCACCUUGAUGGUACAUAAUAGUUCACUCCUUUUUGUAUUUAUUAUUUAAUAAAUAAUGAAAUAUAAUAUAUUUUAUUA